UCGAGCGAGUCUGCCUUGAAGAUCGGAGUGCUUGCACUCUGUGAAACAAGAUACAGGCUAGCGGCGGACGGGUGAGUAACACGUGGGUAACCUGCCCAAGAGAUCGGGAUAACACCUGGAAACAGAUGCUAAUACCGGAUAACAACAGAUGAUGCCUAUCAACUGUUUAAAAGAUGGUUCUGCUAUCACUCUUGGAUGGACCUGCGGUGCAUUAGCUAGUUGGUAGGGUAACGGCCUACCAAGGCGAUGAUGCAUAGCCGAGUUGAGAGACUGAUCGGCCACAUUGGGACUGAGACACGGCCCAAACUCCUACGGGAGGCAGCAGUAGGGAAUCUUCCACAAUGGACGCAAGUCUGAUGGAGCAACGCCGCGUGAGUGAAGAAGGGCUUCGGCUCGUAAAGCUCUGUUGUUGGUGAAGAAGGACAGGGGUAGUAACUGACCUUUGUUUGACGGUAAUCAAUUAGAAAGUCACGGCUAACUACGUGCCAGCAGCCGCGGUAAUACGUAGGUGGCAAGCGUUGUCCGGAUUUAUUGGGCGUAAAGCGAGUGCAGGCGGCUCGAUAAGUCUGAUGUGAAAGCCUUCGGCUCAACCGGAGAAUUGCAUCAGAAACUGUCGAGCUUGAGUACAGAAGAGGAGAGUGGAACUCCAUGUGUAGCGGUGAAAUGCGUAGAUAUAUGGAAGAACACCGGUGGCGAAGGCGGCUCUCUGGUCUGUUACUGACGCUGAGGCUCGAAAGCAUGGGUAGCGAACAGGAUUAGAUACCCUGGUAGUCCAUGCCGUANACGAUGAGUGCUAAGUGUUGGGAGGUUUCCGCCUCUCAGUGCUGCAGCUAACG
This 836-nucleotide ribosomal RNA is filed under the name uncultured bacterium. Its description in RNAcentral is "bacterial SSU rRNA". It matches the Rfam family "Bacterial small subunit ribosomal RNA", at positions 62 to 857 of the family's 1533-position model. The record is from RNAcentral.